RNAcentral lists this non-coding RNA (117 nucleotides) under Arthrobacter sp. Its description in RNAcentral is "SAM-IV sequence". It matches the Rfam family "SAM (S-adenosyl methionine) riboswitch aptamer". From Rfam's summary of the family: SAM-IV is a mRNA element that regulates gene expression via direct sensing of S-adenosylmethionine (SAM or AdoMet). SAM-IV riboswitches share conserved nucleotide positions with the previously described SAM-I riboswitches sequence analysis and molecular recognition experiments suggest that SAM-I and SAM-IV riboswitches share similar ligand binding sites, but have different scaffolds. Lineage: Bacteria; Bacillati; Actinomycetota; Actinomycetes; Micrococcales; Micrococcaceae. The record is from RNAcentral.
AAUCAAGAGCGUCAGCUAUAAGCCCUGGCUUGCUGGCCGGCAACCCUCUCAACGGUAGUGGGGUGCUCCAGGUGAGGAUUCGGUCCCACGCAAGAACGCGUGGCACAAGUACCGCAC